GACGGAGGGCGCAAGCGUUGUUCGGAAUUACUGGGCGUAAAGCGCGGGCAGGCGGCCCGUUAAGUCUACUGUGAAACUCCGGGGCUCAACCCCGGACAUGCAGUGGAUACUGGCGGGCUAGAGAAUGGUAGAGGCAAGCGGAAUUCCUGGUGUAGCGGUGGAAUGCGUAGAUAUCAGGAAGAACACCUGUGGCGAAGGCGGCUUGCUGGGCCAUUUCUGACGCUCAUCCGCGAAAGCGUGGGGAGCAAACAGG
RNAcentral lists this unclassified non-coding RNA (253 nucleotides) under uncultured Gemmatimonadota bacterium. RNAcentral's name for it is "uncultured Gemmatimonadetes bacterium contains 16S-23S intergenic spacer region". It matches the Rfam family "Bacterial small subunit ribosomal RNA", at positions 524 to 776 of the family's 1533-position model. Lineage: Bacteria; Pseudomonadati; Gemmatimonadota. The record is from RNAcentral.